UCUCCUGAACAGAUUCCUUGCUUUUCAUAUGCUUGGGACUGGCCUAAGCCUCACUAGCGAAUGUUUUCAGCUGCUUCAUUCCUUAAAUGACAGCAUCCCUGGACUCUAGCAACCCCUCCGACAAGACCAGGACGGCUUCUUCCCGACAACUGGCAGCAGAGAAGGGUCAGUUCCUUGUGCAUCUUGUCAAAGGUCACAUAGAUGUUCUACUUGGAAUAAGAUCAGUCCUAGAACCUCCUGAGUAUUUUGUGACAAUAGCAGACCUCAAUCAACACUACAGAAUGAAGAGGAGGAUAGAAGAUCAGGAGCGUGAGGAGG
Molecule: long non-coding RNA, 318 nt
Filed under: Chinchilla lanigera (long-tailed chinchilla)
Lineage: Eukaryota; Metazoa; Chordata; Mammalia; Rodentia; Chinchillidae
Description: lncRNA (ENSCLAG00000028738.1)
Source: RNAcentral